CCUACUCUGCAACUCACUAAACACAGGAUGUUGGGAAUUUCAUUUAACUUCCCUGAAUCUGCAACACAAAUGGGAGGACCAGCACCUGCCUGCGGCAAGAGGAUGCGUUCCAGAGCCCCUUGCACAGGACCGGGUGGGUUCUUGGCAGAGGGAAUCAGCAAAUGUGAGCUCUAUUUCUCUCUUUUCUACUUCUUCGAGGGACAUCUCAGACAUCUUAUUGCCAGGAAAGCAAGAAAAAAAGUGUUGCCUCCAUUUCUCAGUCUCCUUGUGGUUGGAAGAUGGCUUGACCCAGCCACCUAGAUCUUCAGAGUUCAUAUUUAGUGGGGCUGAAGUUUCACUGCGAUAUCAUUGACAUACAGCUGAUGUUUAAGAUGUGCGGCAUGAUGACAUGACAAAGGUAUCGAGAAAAG
Long non-coding RNA from Ailuropoda melanoleuca (giant panda), 410 nucleotides. RefSeq lists it as uncharacterized. The transcript has 3 exons. The record is from RefSeq and is a predicted model, not a curated record. Lineage: Eukaryota; Metazoa; Chordata; Mammalia; Carnivora; Ursidae.